Molecule: unclassified non-coding RNA, 816 nt
Filed under: Melitaea cinxia (Glanville fritillary)
Lineage: Eukaryota; Metazoa; Arthropoda; Insecta; Lepidoptera; Nymphalidae
Description: misc RNA ENSMCXG00005009231.1
Source: RNAcentral
UUUUGUUUACAGAUCAUUAAUUGAAUUUUAAUUUAAAUACUAUUAUAAAAUUUUCCAUUCCUACUAUACAUUUUUUACUAAUGUCAAGUCAUAUUAAACUAAUUGCUAUAAAUACCACGAAAUACCGACAGCUUUAAAUUCUUCGCUUUGACUCAGCAUUUGUCAGUUCUCCGCCCGUGUUCAACGAAUCAGGUCGACCGUAAUCAUGAAGAUCAUUUUUCUUAUAAUCUCCAUGUUCCUGGCCAUCGCGAUGGCUCGGCAGGAUUGCCUCUGUCCGGACCUUCAUCGGCCAGUUUGCGGCGUUUCCGGCGUAACCUAUGAAAAUAUAUGCAGAUUGUUUUGCACAAAUGACCAAUUAGCAUACUCCUCGCGUUGCAUCUGACGAGAUCGACUGAACUGACCGAGGAUUACUGAACGAUGUAAACGAUGUAAUGAAUAAAAUAUAAUAUAUUUUGAUAAUGAAUGUUUUGUUUUAAUAUAACGCUUCAUUUUAAAUAGUAUUAAAAGUACAAUACACGAUUAAAUUUUAAAAUUGUAUUCGAAACCUAAUGCUAAGGAUAACAAUACUUUUAUUAGGGGCUAGGAAUUAUAUGUAAAUGUUCUGUUAGCUUAUAUUCUCUGCCUUCCAUUACCUCAAUUUUUUUCUCCUUUACACUUUACACUUUUUUUUGCCCUUUCAAUUCCUACCCAGAGUAUGGAAAUAAUGUUUACAUGCGUAUUCUUUAAAAUAUAUCAAUUAGAAGAAGAAGAAGAAGAAGAAAUAUACUUUAUUGUGCAUAUUACAAGCCGACAUAACAUACAUCUUUAAAAAAUAAA